RNAcentral lists this ribosomal RNA (443 nucleotides) under uncultured bacterium. RNAcentral describes it as "partial 16S ribosomal RNA". It matches the Rfam family "Bacterial small subunit ribosomal RNA", at positions 338 to 795 of the family's 1533-position model. The record is from RNAcentral.
CCUACGGGAGGCAGCAGUGGGGGAUAUUGGACAAUGGGGGCAACCCUGAUCCAGCGACGCCGCGUGAGUGAAGAAGUAUCUCGGUAUGUAAAGCUCUAUCAGCAGGGAAGAAAGAAAUGACGGUACCUGAGUAAGAAGCCCCGGCUAACUACGUGCCAGCAGCCGCGGUAAUACGUAGGGGGCAAGCGUUAUCCGGAUUUAUUGGGUUUAAAGGGUGCGUAGGCGGGCCUUCAAGUCAGCUGUGAAAGUCUUUGGCUCAACCCAUGGACUGCCUUUGAAACUGUGAGUCUUGAGUGUUGGUGAGGGAGGUGGAAUGGUGUGUGUAGGGGUGAAAGGGGUAGAUAUACGGAGGAACACCAGUGGGGAGGGAGGCCUGCUGGACAAUAACGGACGCUGAGGCGCGAAAGAGUGGGGAGCAAACAGGAUUAGAGACCCCAGUAGUC